This 163-nucleotide small nuclear RNA is filed under the name Mustela putorius furo (domestic ferret). RNAcentral describes it as "U4 spliceosomal RNA". The stretch from base 1 to 145 matches the Rfam family "U4 spliceosomal RNA". From Rfam's summary of the family: U4 small nuclear RNA (U4 snRNA) is a component of the major U2-dependent spliceosome. The structure of U4 snRNA from yeast and human has been reported. U4 snRNA presents a k-turn RNA motif in the 5p-SL related to recognition of Snu13 protein. The record is from Rfam by way of RNAcentral. Lineage: Eukaryota; Metazoa; Chordata; Mammalia; Carnivora; Mustelidae.
AGCUUUGUGCUGUGGAAGUAUUGUAGUCAAUGAGGUUUAUCCAAGGCGUGAUUAUUGCUAAUUAAGAAUUAAGUUACAAUUAAAUGACACUAAAAAUGAAAUAAACACCCACAAUGAUCCUAAUUAUUUUGCUACAUCUUAUUGUUAAAUCAUCUCUUGAGAU